Molecule: ribosomal RNA, 459 nt
Filed under: uncultured Microbacteriaceae bacterium
Lineage: Bacteria; Bacillati; Actinomycetota; Actinomycetes; Micrococcales; Microbacteriaceae
Description: bacterial SSU rRNA
Rfam family: Bacterial small subunit ribosomal RNA
Source: RNAcentral
GGCGAACGGGUGAGUAACACGUGAGCAAUCUGCCCUGGACUCUGGGAUAACCCCGAGAAAUCGGAGCUAAUACCGGAUACGACACCUCCCGGCAUCGGGUGGGUGUGGAAAGAAUUUCGGUCCAGGAUGAGCUCGCGGCCUAUCAGCUUGUUGGUGAGGUAACGGCUCACCAAGGCGACGACGGGUAGCCGGCCUGAGAGGGUGACCGGCCACACUGGGACUGAGACACGGCCCAGACUCCUACGGGAGGCAGCAGUGGGGAAUAUUGCACAAUGGGCGCAAGCCUGAUGCAGCAACGCCGCGUGGGGGACGAAGGCCUUCGGGUUGUAAACCUCUUUUAGUAGGGAAGAAGCGCAAGUGACGGUACCUACAGAAAAAGCACCGGCUAACUACGUGCCAGCAGCCGCGGUAAUACGUAGGGUGCAAGCGUUGUCCGGAAUUAUUGGGCGUAAAGAGCUC